Molecule: ribosomal RNA, 500 nt
Filed under: uncultured bacterium
Lineage: Bacteria
Description: partial 16S ribosomal RNA
Rfam family: Bacterial small subunit ribosomal RNA
Source: RNAcentral
AUUGAACGCUGGCGGCAGGCCUAACACAUGCAAGUCGAGCGGAUGACGGGAGCUUGCUCCUUGAUUCAGCGGCGGACGGGUGAGUAAUGCCUAGGAAUCUGCCUGGUAGUGGGGGACAACGUUUCGAAAGGAACGCUAAUACCGCAUACGUCCUACGGGAGAAAGCAGGGGACCUUCGGGCCCUGCGCUAUCAGAUGAGCCUAGGUCGGAUUAGCUAGUUGGUGGGGUAAUGGCUCACCUAGGCGACGAUCCGUAACUGGUCUGAGAGGAUGAUCAGUCACACUGGAACUGAGACACGGUCCAGACUCCUACGGGAGGCAGCAGUGGGGAAUAUUGGACAAUGGGCGAAAGCCUGAUCCAGCCAUGCCGCGUGUGUGAAGAAGGUCUUCGGAUUGUAAAGCACUUUAAGUUGGGGGGAAGGGCAGUAAGCUAAUACCUUGCUGUUUUGACGUUACCGACAGAAUAAGCACCGGCUAACUCUGUGCCAGCCGCCGCCGUAA